RNAcentral lists this long non-coding RNA (294 nucleotides) under Elaeis guineensis (African oil palm). Its description in RNAcentral is "long non-coding RNA (EGUI_LNC028362)". The record is from RNAcentral. Lineage: Eukaryota; Viridiplantae; Streptophyta; Magnoliopsida; Arecales; Arecaceae.
AGGAUAUAUAGUGACUGUAAAGGAAAUAUGCCUUGGUGGUCAUCAAAUAUAUUUAAUGGAAGGCAAACAGUGCUAUGGACUAUAUAGCCUUAUAUGUUCCAAAGCAUUCUGAUGAGAUCUUGUGGACUGAGGUUGCUGAUCUUCCUAUGCUACAAGGUGAUAUCAUUUUUCUAAUCUUUUUUGUUGUAUGACCACCCACGCUAAUAAACCCAAGUGGCACCCUUUUUAUUAAUUAAUGUGGAAUUAUAACAAUCUACCCUAUCCAAUUAGGGAUUACAACAUGUCAGAGUUGAG